CUUUUCCACACGCAUGUGCGCGGCAGGCUCUCCUGUGUCAUCUGGCUGCAGUUUACAAACAGUCUGUCUCCCGUUACUGGACACCGCAGCUAUUCUGGCUUCCUCUUCCGAUGCAGAGUGUCCAGUCUCCAUGUUGAAGUCAGCAAGCCAAGGUCAAACAGCAAAUCCAUGAAAGCUGCAGAACACCGCAUACGAUCGCAUCGCAAAAUACAUUUCUACACUCUCGGAGUGAAGCAAAGACGUCAAAAAGAAGAUUGAGCAAUUUAUGCAGGUGGACUCGCCUCUGUUAUCAGUUUAAACAACAUACGCCACAGAUUGUGUCCGCUGGCCUCACAGCAACAUACCUGUGGGUCCACCUGCACUCCAUCCUUACAUGAGAAACUGUACCUGUCUAUAUUAUAUUCUCACACUGAGCCUCCAAAUCUUCAUAGCAUAAAUAUUUAUUUUAAGAAGGUACGAGCACGGUGCCAGCCAGGUUUCAAACAACUCAUAGACCAAUUACCCAUCAUCAAACGCGCACAUCUGCCAUCUAGUGGUAGAACAGCGUAAAUACAAACAAGAUAAGCGUUAUAUAGGAUUUGAAGCAUCAUUUGUUUUCUUUGCCCAGACAACAAAGAGGUCAUUUUAUUGAACUGGACUCAGAUUUGAACUGAUCUCAAUAAUUACGAAUAAAGUGGUGAAAUGUAUUUUAACGUCUGUCCGCAGCUGCUGAUGGCCGGCCAUCUAAAGGAGGAAUAAUGUACUUUCAUGAGUUGCUGCUGAAAAUUAGAAAAUAUCAGAGGAAUAAAGUCACUUUUGUUCAUUACUCUCAUCAUUGCAUCUGGGCAAUUUUGGAUCGUAAUCGUUUGGAAAUCCCUCUAACAAUUAAACCAAAAACUCCAGUCUAGCAGUAAUAAACACGUGGAUGGAUUCAGCAUCAGUUUAAGACACGGAGCUUCUUAAUAUUAUGCAAAUCUUAAUCUCCUCACAGUUGAACUGCUGGCUGAAGAAAUGCCCUCCAGAGUGAUGAUGUGGGUGGCAAAUCUAUUCCCGAAAUUUGGGUUUAACACCUGCCCCACAGAGGACUGCUCUGUUGAGCAAUUCCAAUAUAAAGGCAACAUCCCUUAGCCUACAACAGUGAUUAGGUUUCCAAAAAAAAAAAAAGAAAAAAGCUGGGUCUAGUUUUCAUGCAAACAUUGUGGGAGGAAAUGUGUCAAUUUGAUUUGUAGGUUUUUGCAUGGAAAUGGGAAAUGCAAAACCAAAGAUUGAGGUAAAAGACACAGAGCACCUAAAAAAAACACGUGAAAAAAAGUGAUGUGCGCCAUUUAAAGAAGCUGCUGAAGCUAAUCGGAUAGCAUUCCUGGUUUUAUUAAAAUGAUACCACCCGGUGAAUCAUCAACAGUCAUAACACACAAAAUAGACCGAAAAGGUAAAGGGGACCCCAUAUAUGCACAGAAAGCGGAUCCACAGAGGAGAUUUAAGAAAUCCAUUUAGUGUAUAAACAUGGGCUGUUGACUUUGGACUUCCUGAGAAUAUACACCACAAAUGUAAAUGUAGGUCAAUAUUUGAGGGCUCAUUUAACAUGAUUUGAACACCUUCAGCUGGGCGGAAAAGGGCCAGCACCAAUCAGACCUAUAUCUGGGCUUUUACGUAAUCUUGUAUACGAAUGAUGGACAGUGUUAAAGUGCUGCCUUUA
Long non-coding RNA from Takifugu rubripes (torafugu), 1675 nucleotides. Lineage: Eukaryota; Metazoa; Chordata; Actinopteri; Tetraodontiformes; Tetraodontidae. The record is from Ensembl.